Monodelphis domestica (gray short-tailed opossum) is the source of this 103-nucleotide small nuclear RNA. The record is from Ensembl. NCBI's taxonomy places the organism in Eukaryota, Metazoa, Chordata, Mammalia, Didelphimorphia, Didelphidae.
GUGCUGGCUUAGAUGGCACAUAUACUACUUUGGAAUGAUACAGAGAUUAACAUGACCACUGAACAAGGAUGAAAUGCAAAUUUCAGAAAUGUUCCAUGUUUUA